GGAUUCCUGGUGCUUACCACAGGUUGUGUUCUGACACUGACUAUGUAGAAAGAUGAACCUAAGUGAACUUAUCCCACAUACACCUUAGGCCAGGCCCUGUGUCAGGUCUGUAUUAUGAAUGGGAAGACAUGG
RNAcentral lists this small nucleolar RNA (132 nucleotides) under Castor canadensis (American beaver). Its description in RNAcentral is "Small nucleolar RNA SNORA51 (ENSCCNG00000001288.1)". It matches the Rfam family "Small nucleolar RNA SNORA51". From Rfam's summary of the family: ACA51 is a member of the H/ACA class of snoRNA that guide the sites of modification of uridines to pseudouridines. The record is from Rfam by way of RNAcentral. Lineage: Eukaryota; Metazoa; Chordata; Mammalia; Rodentia; Castoridae.